GAGUUUGAUCAUGGCUCAGGAUGAACGCUGGCGGCGUGCUUAACACAUGCAAGUCGAACGAACCUUCGGGUUAGUGGCGGACGGGUGAGUAACGCGUGAGAAUCUGCCCUCAGGAGGGGGAUAACGGUUGGAAACGACCGCUAAUACCCCAUAUGCCUACUGGUGAAAUGAAUUUCGCCUGAGGAUGAGCUCGCGUCUGAUUAGCUAGUUGGUGAGGUAAUGGCUCACCAAGGCUUCGAUCAGUAGCUGGUCUGAGAGGAUGAUCAGCCACACUGGGACUGAGACACGGCCCAGACUCCUACGGGAGGCAGCAGUGGGGAAUUUUCCGCAAUGGGCGAAAGCCUGACGGAGCAACGCCGCGUGAGGGACGAAGGCCUCUGGGCUGUAAACCUCUUUUCUCAAGGAAGAAGAUAUGACGGUACUUGAGGAAUAAGCCACGGCUAAUUCCGUGCCAGCAGCCGCGGUAAUACGGGAGUGGCAAGCGUUAUCCGGAAUUAUUGGGCGUAAAGCGUCCGCAGGCGGCUUUUCAAGUCUGCUGUUAAAGCGUGGAGCUUAACUCCAUCAUGGCAGUGGAAACUGAAAGGCUUGAGUAUGGUAGGGGCAGAGGGAAUUCCCGGUGUAGCGGUGAAAUGCGUAGAUAUCGGGAAGAACACCAGUGGCGAAGGCGCUCUGCUGGGCCAUUACUGACGCUCAUGGACGAAAGCCAGGGGAGCGAAAGGGAUUAGAUACCCCUGUAGUCCUGGCCG
RNAcentral lists this ribosomal RNA (746 nucleotides) under uncultured bacterium. RNAcentral's name for it is "bacterial SSU rRNA". It matches the Rfam family "Bacterial small subunit ribosomal RNA", at positions 9 to 802 of the family's 1533-position model. The record is from RNAcentral.